UGGGGAAUUUUGGACAAUGGGCGCAAGCCUGAUCCAGCCAUUCCGCGUGAGUGAAGAAGGCCUUCGGGUUGUAAAGCUCUUUCGCAAGGGAAGAAAACUUAGUCUCUAACAUAGACUGAGGUUGACGGUACCUUGAUAAGAAGCACCGGCUAACUACGUGCCAGCAGCCGCGGUAAUACGUGGGGUGCGAGCGUUAAUCGGAAUUACUGGGCGUAAAGCGUGCGCAGGCGGUUUUGUAAGUCAGAUGUGAAAUCCCCGAGCUCAACUUGGGAACUGCGUUUGAAACUACAAGACUAGAAUAUGUCAGAGGGGGGUAGAAUUCCACGUGUAGCAGUGAAAUGCGUAGAGAUGUGGAGGAAUACCAAUGGCGAAGGCAGCCCACUGGGAUAAUAUUGACGCUCAUGCACGAAAGCGUGGGGAGCAAACAG
This 428-nucleotide ribosomal RNA is filed under the name uncultured bacterium. RNAcentral's name for it is "bacterial SSU rRNA". It matches the Rfam family "Bacterial small subunit ribosomal RNA", at positions 355 to 775 of the family's 1533-position model. The record is from RNAcentral.